RNAcentral lists this long non-coding RNA (316 nucleotides) under Homo sapiens (human). RNAcentral describes it as "non-protein coding lnc-SENP6-13:1". Lineage: Eukaryota; Metazoa; Chordata; Mammalia; Primates; Hominidae. The record is from RNAcentral.
CUCUUUCUUCUCUUAGUUCAGAUCUAAUGUUGAGUCCCUCUAGUGGAUGUUUGACUUCAGCUAUUGCACUUUUCAACUCCAGGAUUUCCAUUGGAUUCUUUCUUAUAAUUUUUAUUUUCUUAUUGAUAACCUCCAUUUAAAGGGGCAUUGUCAUCACAUCUCCCUUUAUUUCUUCAUUCAUGUUUCCACCUAGUUUUUAAAAUAUAUUUAUAAUAGCCGUUUUGAAAUCUUUGUUAUAUCUGACCCUCAUAGGUAUCUGAGCCCUCUCACAGUUUCUCUUGCCUGGUUUUUCUUACAUAUGGGUCACACUUUCCUA